This 429-nucleotide ribosomal RNA is filed under the name uncultured bacterium. RNAcentral describes it as "bacterial SSU rRNA". It matches the Rfam family "Bacterial small subunit ribosomal RNA", at positions 355 to 801 of the family's 1533-position model. The record is from RNAcentral.
UCGGGAAUUUUGGGCAAUGGGCGAAAGCCUGACCCAGCAACGCCGCGUGAAGGAUGAAGUAUUUCGGUAUGUAAACUUCGAAAGAAUAGGAAGAAUAAAUGACGGUACUAUUUAUAAGGUCCGGCUAACUACGUGCCAGCAGCCGCGGUAAUACGUAGGGACCAAGCGUUGUUCGGAUUUACUGGGCGUAAAGGGCGCGUAGGCGGCAAUUCAAGUCAUCUGUGAAAUCUCCGGGCUUAACUCGGAACGGUCAGAUGAUACUGCUUUGCUAGAGUGCAGAAGGGGCAAUCGGAAUUCUUGGUGUAGCGGUGAAAUGCGUAGAUAUCAAGAGGAACACCUGAGGUGAAGACGGGUUGCUGGGCUGACACUGACGCUGAGGCGCGAAAGCUAGGGGAGCAAACGGGAUUAGAUACCCAAGUAGUCCCUGAG